GUGUCAGCCGCCGCGGUAAUACGGGGGGUGCAAGCGUUGUUCGGAAUUAUUGGGCGUAAAGAGCGUGUAGGCGGCUGAAUAAGUCAGAUGUGAAAUCCCUGGGCUUAACCCAGGAAGUGCAUUUGAAACUAUUCAGCUUGAGUAGGGGAGAGGAAAGUGGAAUUCCUGGUGUAGAGGUGAAAUUCGUAGAUAUCAGGAGGAACACCGGUGGCGAAGGCGACUUUCUGGCCCUAUACUGACGCUGAGACGCGAGAGCGUGGGUAGCAAACAGGAUUAGAUACCCGUGUAGUCC
RNAcentral lists this ribosomal RNA (292 nucleotides) under uncultured bacterium. RNAcentral describes it as "partial 16S ribosomal RNA". It matches the Rfam family "Bacterial small subunit ribosomal RNA", at positions 505 to 796 of the family's 1533-position model. The record is from RNAcentral.